RNAcentral lists this non-coding RNA (45 nucleotides) under Schistosoma mattheei. Lineage: Eukaryota; Metazoa; Platyhelminthes; Trematoda; Strigeidida; Schistosomatidae. The record is from RNAcentral.
AUCCGGCGGACGAGUUACAAAUAGGACGAAACGCGCGUCUUGGAU